RNAcentral lists this ribosomal RNA (407 nucleotides) under uncultured Actinoplanes sp. RNAcentral's name for it is "bacterial SSU rRNA". It matches the Rfam family "Bacterial small subunit ribosomal RNA", at positions 355 to 774 of the family's 1533-position model. The record is from RNAcentral. Lineage: Bacteria; Bacillati; Actinomycetota; Actinomycetes; Micromonosporales; Micromonosporaceae.
UGGGGAAUAUUGCACAAUGGGCGGAAGCCUGAUGCAGCGACGCCGCGUGAGGGAUGACGGCCUUCGGGUUGUAAACCUCUUUCAGCAGGGACGAAGCGAGAGUGACGGUACCUGCAGAAGAAGCGCCGGCCAACUACGUGCCAGCAGCCGCGGUAAGACGUAGGGCGCGAGCGUUGUCCGGAUUUAUUGGGCGUAAAGAGCUCGUAGGCGGCUUGUCGCGUCGAAUGUGAAAACUCGGGGCUCAACCCCGCGCUUGCAUUCGAUACGGGCAGGCUCGAGUUCGGUAGGGGAGACUGGAAUUCCUGGUGUAGCGGUGAAAUGCGCAGAUAUCAGGAGGAACACCGGUGGCGAAGGCGGGUCUCUGGGCCGAUACUGACGCUGAGGAGCGAAAGCGUGGGGAGCGAACA